This 469-nucleotide ribosomal RNA is filed under the name Pseudomonas sp. DCB_Q. RNAcentral's name for it is "bacterial SSU rRNA". It matches the Rfam family "Bacterial small subunit ribosomal RNA", at positions 337 to 797 of the family's 1533-position model. The record is from RNAcentral. Lineage: Bacteria; Pseudomonadati; Pseudomonadota; Gammaproteobacteria; Pseudomonadales; Pseudomonadaceae.
GCCUACGGGAGGCAGCAGUGGGGAAUAUUGGACAAUGGGGGGAACCCUGAUCCAGCCAUGCCGCGUGUGUGAAGAAGGCCUUAUGGUUGUAAAGCACUUUAAGCGAGGAGGAGGCUACUGAGACUAAUACUCUUGGAUAGUGGACGUUACUCGCAGAAUAAGCACCGGCUAACUCUGUGCCAGCAGCCGCGGUAAUACAGAGGGUGCGAGCGUUAAUCGGAUUUACUGGGCGUAAAGCGUGCGUAGGCGGCUUUUUAAGUCGGAUGUGAAAUCCCCGAGCUUAACUUGGGAAUUGCAUUCGAUACUGGGAAGCUAGAGUAUGGGAGAGGAUGGUAGAAUUCCAGGUGUAGCGGUGAAAUGCGUAGAGAUCUGGAGGAAUACCGAUGGCGAAGGCAGCCAUCUGGCCUAAUACUGACGCUGAGGUACGAAAGCAUGGGGAGCAAACAGGAUUAGAUACCCUUGUAGUCCU